UCUAAUUAACCACUAAUCAACAAGUUGCUAAGGAAUGUCCUUGGGCCUUUGGCAUCUAACAACUGUUAAUUGCAUUAAGAAAUAGAGAGACCUAAUUCUAGCUACCCAAACGUAUGGUGAUAUUGCUAGAUUAUGCAAUUUCCUAGGUUUUUACACCAAGGGUUACUUGUGUUUGAAUAAUUCAAGCAAUUACGGACUUCAAACUAUCCAAACUAAUAAAUUAUUACUUUGCAAUCAAGA
RNAcentral lists this long non-coding RNA (240 nucleotides) under Manihot esculenta (cassava). RNAcentral describes it as "long non-coding RNA (MESC_LNC011194)". The record is from RNAcentral. Lineage: Eukaryota; Viridiplantae; Streptophyta; Magnoliopsida; Malpighiales; Euphorbiaceae.